UCGGGGGACGUGGGCGGUUUCCCUCCCGGGGACGUUCCCGAGAAAGUUCCACUGAACCCUUUUCAUUUAGAGGAAGGAGGAAGUUGUUAACAAAGGUUUUCCGUAGGUGGAACCUGCCGGAAGGAUCAUUG
RNAcentral lists this ribosomal RNA (131 nucleotides) under Muehlenbeckia axillaris. RNAcentral's name for it is "partial 18S ribosomal RNA". The record is from RNAcentral. Lineage: Eukaryota; Viridiplantae; Streptophyta; Magnoliopsida; Caryophyllales; Polygonaceae.